UACGUAGGGGGCAAGCGUUGUCCGGAUUUAUUGGGCGUAAAGAGCGUGUAGGCGGUUUGGUAGGUCCGCUGUGAAAACUCGAGGCUCAACCCUGGGAUGCCGGUGGAUACUGUCGGGCUCGAGUCCGGAAGAGGCGAGUGGAAUUCCUGGUGUAGCGGUGAAAUGCGCAGAUAUCAGGAGGAACACCAAUGGCGAAGGCAGCUCGCUGGGACGUGACUGACGCUGAGACGCGAAAGCGUGGGGAGCAAACAGG
This 253-nucleotide ribosomal RNA is filed under the name uncultured bacterium. Its description in RNAcentral is "partial 16S ribosomal RNA". It matches the Rfam family "Bacterial small subunit ribosomal RNA", at positions 524 to 776 of the family's 1533-position model. The record is from RNAcentral.